Molecule: long non-coding RNA, 1598 nt
Organism: Dreissena polymorpha
Lineage: Eukaryota; Metazoa; Mollusca; Bivalvia; Myida; Dreissenidae
Exons: 4
Source: RefSeq, a predicted model, not a curated record
GUGGAAGCUCGUCCUGCACUAUACUACAGGUGGGCAGCGAGGGGAGGAGUAAGCUGGCUACUCUGGCUACACGGGAGAGGGAUGGAAUGUGGUUACCAUCAUCCGUCUGCUACAGCAGCACUACAUCAUCCAUCAUAGUGGGACAGAACAUUGACAACAACAUCCUGGUGUUCAGAGUGGAAUAGUGUGAAUAUACAUCCCUUGACGAAAUCAAACCAGAAAAGCAGAAGGACAGCCUGUUGCUACCGUUGUUAUCAUAUUAACCCUAUACCGAAGAAGCUCAGAAAUAUAAAUGUUUAAGAUGUGCUAGUCUCUACAUACCCCAUGUCUGGUGUGAACAUGUACAAUUGAAGGUCUCUACAUACCCCAUGUCUGGUGUGAACAUGUGCAAUUGAAGGUCUCUACAUACCCCAUGUCUGGUGUGAACAUGUACAAUUGAAGGUCUCUACAUACCCCAUGUCUGGUGUGAACAUGUACAAUUGAAGGUCUCUACAUUCCUCAUGUCUGGUGUGAACAUGUACAAUUGAAGGUCUCUACAUACCCCAUGUCUGGUGAAAACAUGUACAAUUGAAGGUCUCUACAUUCCUCAUGUCUGGUGUGAACAUGUAAAAUUGAAGGUCUCUACAUACCCCAUGUCUGAUGUGAACAUGUACAAUUGAAGGUCUCUACAUACCCCAUGUCUGGUGUGAACAUGUACAAUUGAAUGUCUCUACAUACCCCAUGUCUGGUGUGAACAUGUACAAUUGAAGGUCUCUACAUACCCCAUGUCUGGUGUGAACAUGUACAGUUGAAGGUCUCAUCUUUGAAAUUGGGACACGUGGAAAAUUAGUGACUUGAUUCAGACAGAAAUCGCAUAAUGACAAAUCACAACAAAAAAUGGAAAGCCAGAAAGUCUUGUGGCCAGCAAUGUUUUCAUGUGACCAUCCAAGUUGUGUUCAAAGAAAAACAAUAGUUCAUGUUUUAUUGGAACACUGAUGCUGUCAGUCAUUUUAUGUUGAAGGCUUUAAAUAACUAUAUUCAAAUAUAAUAAGAUUAAGAUUACUUGAUAAAAGCAAUAAUGUAAAAUAGUAUUUUAAGCGCAAAAUUUACAAGUCUUUCCAAUUACUGUGUCUGUAUUAUGACAUUUUAGUUUGGAAAUGUUAAGGAAAAUAUAAUGUUAGUAAAUAUAUGUCUAUAAAUGUUGAUUUUAACAUUUGUCAAAGCUGUUUUAAUGAUGCUGGUAACUUUAACAAAAUUUAAAGAAAUGUAUUAUUUUCAUGUAAUGAGACAUGCUUCAGUUUUUUUGUGGCUUAACUUGUAAUUUAGAGGUGGUAGUUACAAGAAUUGUUUAGCCAGAUUGAGAAUGUUUAUGCUAUGGCUUUGAUACUCUUAAGUGUGCCCAUUGGUGUCAGUUUUUUAUCAAGAAUAUUGUUUAUUGUCUUACUAUUUCUUGAAAAUAUGGUUUAAUUUUAGACAAAAUCAUUUAAUCUUCCUUAAAUUGUCUAUUCUGCAUUUAUUACCAGUUAUUUAUUAAUUUGCAUGAAUAUGAUUUAAGAACGACUUUUGUGUUGCUUAAAAUGCUUUAUUUGUUUUGAAACUGAGUAUUUAAAAACGAAAAU